RNAcentral lists this ribosomal RNA (333 nucleotides) under uncultured Leptolinea sp. RNAcentral describes it as "bacterial SSU rRNA". It matches the Rfam family "Bacterial small subunit ribosomal RNA", at positions 1036 to 1382 of the family's 1533-position model. Lineage: Bacteria; Bacillati; Chloroflexota; Anaerolineae; Anaerolineales; Anaerolineaceae. The record is from RNAcentral.
AGGUGCUGCAUGGCUGUCGUCAGCUCGUGUCGUGGGAGUGUUCGGUUAAGUCCGCUAACGAGCGCAACCCUCGCUGUGUGUUAUAUGUGUCACACGGGACUGCCGGUCUUAAGCCGGAGGAGGGUGGGGAUGAUGUCAAGUCAGCAUGGCCUUUAUAUCCUGGGCUACACACACGCUACAAUGGCCAACACAAUAGGUUGCUAAGCCGCGAGGUGGCGCCAAUCCAUAAAGUUGGUCUCAGUUCAGAUUGUAGGCUGCAACCCGCCUGCAUGAAGAUGGAGUUGCUAGUAACCGCAGGUCAGCUAUACUGCGGUGAAUACGUUCCCGGGGCUU